Long non-coding RNA from Halichondria panicea, 520 nucleotides. RefSeq lists it as uncharacterized. Lineage: Eukaryota; Metazoa; Porifera; Demospongiae; Suberitida; Halichondriidae. The record is from RefSeq and is a predicted model, not a curated record. The transcript is spliced from 3 exons.
CAAUAAUUAUCACGUGAUAUGGAUAACGAUCACUUAUCUUUUGCACAGGUGUUUCUCGAGUUCGAGUAAGGACAGUUGGGGGUGAAGCCGGUCCUUCGAGGCCUAAGAAAGGUCCCAGAGGGUAUGAUCACGAUGAUCCUCCAGUCUUGAAUGGAGAGGGUCCCUGCCCGUACUGCCACCUGUCACCGUGUGUCAGAGCCAGACCACCCAGCUGGCUGAUUGGAAGCGCUGCACCUAAUUUGGGGAACAUGGUGAAGCGCUUCAAACUAUACAGAAAGUAUUGGACGCUGCUAGGUCAGUUGGGGGUAUGGAAUCACCCUCUAUAUAAUUAUGGCAUAUAAAGUGACCAAAACCAGUGCACAUGACAAGAGGGAUGUGAUGCCUGACUGUGUAUUGAGAGAGGUGCGUGAGCGAUUUCCGAAUCCAGAUGGAGUUCCAUACACAGACUUCCAGUCUUCUACUUCCUUUAUUGUUUAAUUAUGUAAAAUGCAAUUAUAAAAUGCUGAUUGGCUAGUCAAAA